CCUACGGGUGGCAGCAGUGAGGAAUAUUGGUCAAUGGCCGCAGGGCUGAACCAGCCAAGUCGCGUGAGGGAUGACGGUCCUAUGGAUUGUAAACCUCUUUUGUCAGGGAGCAAAGGGCGCCACGUGUGGCGUUUUGCGAGUACCUGAAGAAAAAGCAUCGGCUAACUCCGUGCCAGCAGCCGCGGUAAUACGGAGGAUGCGAGCGUUAUCCGGAUUUAUUGGGGUUAAGGGGUGCGCAGGCGGACUGUAAAGUCAGCGGGAAAAUCUCCGGGCUCCACCCCGUCGUGCCGUUGAAACUGGCGUUCUUGAGUGCGCGUGCCGUAUGCGGAAUGCGUGGUGUAGCGGU
RNAcentral lists this ribosomal RNA (346 nucleotides) under uncultured bacterium. RNAcentral describes it as "partial 16S ribosomal RNA". It matches the Rfam family "Bacterial small subunit ribosomal RNA", at positions 338 to 682 of the family's 1533-position model. The record is from RNAcentral.